This 134-nucleotide microRNA precursor is filed under the name Marmota monax (woodchuck). Lineage: Eukaryota; Metazoa; Chordata; Mammalia; Rodentia; Sciuridae. The record is from RNAcentral.
GUGCAACUGACUCCAUCCUCUCUCUUCUCUCUCUCUCUCUCUCUCUCUCUCUCUCUCUCUCUCUCUCUCUCCCCGAGAGAGAGAGAGAGAGAGAGAGAGAGAGAGAGGGGAGAGAGAGAGAAUUUUUUAAUAUU